AAGCCCUUUUAUUAUUUGUAGA
This 22-nucleotide microRNA is filed under the name Monodelphis domestica (gray short-tailed opossum). Its description in RNAcentral is "Mdo-Mir-7373-P21_5p* (star (passenger))". Lineage: Eukaryota; Metazoa; Chordata; Mammalia; Didelphimorphia; Didelphidae. The record is from RNAcentral.